Molecule: ribosomal RNA, 253 nt
Filed under: uncultured bacterium
Lineage: Bacteria
Description: partial 16S ribosomal RNA
Rfam family: Bacterial small subunit ribosomal RNA
Source: RNAcentral
UACGUAGGGUGCGAGCGUUAAUCGGAAUUACUGGGCGUAAAGCGUGCGCAGGCGGUUCGCUAAGACAGAUGUGAAAUCCCCGGGCUUAACCUGGGAACUGCAUUUGUGACUGGCGGGCUAGAGUAUGGCAGAGGGGGGUAGAAUUCCACGUGUAGCAGUGAAAUGCGUAGAGAUGUGGAGGAAUACCGAUGGCGAAGGCAGCCUCCUGGGCCAACACUGACGCUCAUGCACGAAAGCGUGGGGAGCAAACAGG